RNAcentral lists this ribosomal RNA (446 nucleotides) under uncultured marine eukaryote. Its description in RNAcentral is "partial 18S ribosomal RNA". It matches the Rfam family "Eukaryotic small subunit ribosomal RNA", at positions 121 to 566 of the family's 1831-position model. The record is from RNAcentral.
UUGAUGGUCCCUCAACUACUUGGAUACCCGUGGUAAUUCUAGAGCUAAUACAUGCAUCAAUACCCAACUUUGUGGAAAGGGUGUGUUUUUUUAAUACAUAACCAACCCAUGUUCCGCGUGGUCUUUUGGUGAUUCAUAAAAUCCUAGAAGAUCCUGUGUCUCCCGCUGGCGAUGAAUCAUUCAUUUUUCCCACUUAUCUUUUUCGGAGGGUGGGUUGUGGUCCUACCGGGUUAAUGAGGGAAAACUUAUAAUUGGGGUACUUUUCCGAAGAGGGAGCCUAAAAAACGGCUACAUCUUCUAAGGAAGGCAGGCGGGCCAAAAAUUCCCCAUUCCGGCCGGGGGGAGGUGAGAACAAAAAAUAACACGGGGGGGCUUCUGUGUCUUGGAAUUGGAAGAGAAAAACUUUAAAUCCCUUUACCAGUUCAAUUUGGGGGGGAAUUCUGGGU